AUUGAACGCUGGCGGCAGGCCUAACACAUGCAAGUCGAACGGUAACAGGAAACAGCUUGCUGUUUCGCUGACGAGUGGCGGACGGGUGAGUAAUGUCUGGGAAACUGCCUGAUGGAGGGGGAUAACUACUGGAAACGGUAGCUAAUACCGCAUAACGUCGCAAGACCAAAGAGGGGGACCUUCGGGCCUCUUGCCGUCGGAUGUGCCCAGAUGGGAUUAGCUUGUUGGUGGGGUAACGGCUCACCAAGGCGUCGAUCCCUAGCUGGUCUGAGAGGAUGACCAGCCACACUGGAACUGAGACACGGUCCAGACUCCUACGGGAGGCAGCAGUGGGGAAUAUUGCACAAUGGGCGCAAGCCUGAUGCAGCCAUGCCGCGUGUAUGAAGAAGGCCUUCGGGUUGUAAAGUACUUUCAGCGGGGAGGAAGGGAGUAAAGUUAAUACCUUUACUCAUUGACGUUACCCGCAGAAGAAGCACCGGCUAACUCCGUGCCAGCAGCCGCCGUAA
This 506-nucleotide ribosomal RNA is filed under the name uncultured bacterium. Its description in RNAcentral is "partial 16S ribosomal RNA". It matches the Rfam family "Bacterial small subunit ribosomal RNA", at positions 30 to 523 of the family's 1533-position model. The record is from RNAcentral.